CUUGGGUCUGACACCAAAUCACCCGAAUGUGCCCAACCCCAUCUAAGCUCAGAAGCUAAGCAGAGUUGGGCCUGGUUAGUACUUGGAUGGGAGAGAAAAGGACUUGGGCUGAGAAAAUGACACAGGCCUAAGA
Molecule: ribosomal RNA, 133 nt
Filed under: Tupaia belangeri (northern tree shrew)
Lineage: Eukaryota; Metazoa; Chordata; Mammalia; Scandentia; Tupaiidae
Source: RNAcentral